GGACUACACGGGUUUCUAAUCCUGUUCGCUACCCACACUUUCGCACAUGAGCGUCAGUCUUUGGCCAGGGAGUCGCCUUCGCCACUGAUGUUCCUCCAGAUAUCUACGCAUUUCACCGCUACACCUGGAAUUCCACUCCCCUCUCCAAGACUCUAGUCUGCCAGUUCUAAAUGACCAUCCCAGGUUGAGCCCGGGGCUUUCACAUCUAGCUUAACAAACCGCCUGCGUGCGCUUUACGCCCAGUAAUUCCGAUUAACGCUCGCACCCUCCGUAUUACCGCGGCUGCUGGCACGGAGUUAGCCGGUGCUUCUUCUGUUGUUAACGUCACGGCUGGCAGGUAUUAACUACCAACUUUUCCUCACAACUGAAAGUGCUUUACAACCCGAAGGCCUUCUUCACA
Molecule: unclassified non-coding RNA, 400 nt
Filed under: uncultured Alteromonadaceae bacterium
Lineage: Bacteria; Pseudomonadati; Pseudomonadota; Gammaproteobacteria; Alteromonadales; Alteromonadaceae
Description: contains 16S-23S intergenic spacer region
Source: RNAcentral